RNAcentral lists this small RNA (560 nucleotides) under Pan troglodytes (chimpanzee). Its description in RNAcentral is "retained intron". Lineage: Eukaryota; Metazoa; Chordata; Mammalia; Primates; Hominidae. The record is from RNAcentral.
AUUUGGUAACUACCAUGAAUAUAAGAGGGAAUUCAACAUGCUUGCCUUGAAAUUAUUAUUGGCUUCUUAUUCAUGCAGGCUCUGCAUUAGCUGCUAAUGUAUGUAAAAAGAUUACUGGACGUCUUACAAGUGCAAUAGCAAAACAGGAAGAUGUCUCUGUUCAGCUAGAAGCCUUGGAUAUUAUGGCUGAUAUGUUGAGCAGGCAAGGAGGACUUCUUGUUAAUUUCCAUCCUUCAAUUCUGACCUGUCUACUUCCCCAGUUGACCAGCCCUAGACUUGCAGUGAGGAAAAGAACCAUUAUCGCUCUUGGCCAUCUGGUUAUGAGCUGUGGAAAUAUAGUUUUUGUAGAUCUUAUUGAACAUCUGUUGUCAGAGUUGUCCAAAAAUGAUUCUAUGUCAACAACAAGAACCUACAUACAAUGUAUUGCUGCUAUUAGUAGGCAAGCUGGUCAUAGAAUAGGUGAAUACCUUGAGAAGAUAAUUCCUUUGGUGGUAAAAUUUUGCAAUGUAGAUGAUGAUGAAUUAAGAGAGUACUGUAUUCAAGCCUUUGAAUCAUUUGUA